Molecule: ribosomal RNA, 440 nt
Filed under: uncultured bacterium
Lineage: Bacteria
Description: partial 16S ribosomal RNA
Rfam family: Bacterial small subunit ribosomal RNA
Source: RNAcentral
CCUACGGGUGGCAGCAGUGGGGGCUAUUGCACAAUGGGGGAAACCCUGAUGCAGCGACGCCGCGUGUGGGAAGACGGUCCUCUGGAUUGUCAACCACUGUCCCCAGGGACGAAGCUGACGGUACCUGGGGAGGAAGCUCCGGCUAACUACGUGCCAGCAGCCGCGGUAAUACGUAGGGAGCAAGCGUUGUCCGGAAUUUCUAGGUGAAAAGGGAGCGUAGGCGGGAUGGCAAGUUGGGUGUUAAAUCUACCGGCUCAACUGGUAGUCGCACUCAAAACUGCUAUUCUUGAGUGAAGUAGAGGCAGGCGGAAUUCCUAGUGUAGCGGUGAAAUGCGUAGAUAUUAGGAGGAACACCAGUGGCGAAGGCGGCCUGCUGGGCUUUUACUGACGCUGAGGCUCGAAAGUGUGGGGAGCAAACAGGAUUAGAGACCCGAGUAGUC